RNAcentral lists this small RNA (42 nucleotides) under Arabidopsis thaliana (thale cress). RNAcentral describes it as "ATSL152640". The record is from RNAcentral. Lineage: Eukaryota; Viridiplantae; Streptophyta; Magnoliopsida; Brassicales; Brassicaceae.
AAUCGAAGACAAAAGAAGAGGCGAAAAAGGAGAAGAAAAAAU